This 253-nucleotide ribosomal RNA is filed under the name uncultured bacterium. RNAcentral describes it as "partial 16S ribosomal RNA". It matches the Rfam family "Bacterial small subunit ribosomal RNA", at positions 524 to 776 of the family's 1533-position model. The record is from RNAcentral.
UACGUAGGGGGCUAGCGUUGUCCGGAAUCAUUGGGCGUAAAGCGCGUGUAGGCGGUCCGGUAAGUCCGCUGUGAAAGUCGGGGGCUCAACCCUCGAAUGCCGGUGGAUACUGUCGGGCUAGAGUGCGGAAGAGGCGAGUGGAAUUCCUGGUGUAGCGGUGAAAUGCGCAGAUAUCAGGAGGAACACCAAUUGCGAAGGCGGCUCUCUGGGACGGUACUGACGCUGAGACGCGAAAGCGUGGGGAGCGAACAGG